Molecule: microRNA precursor, 120 nt
Organism: Microtus ochrogaster (prairie vole)
Lineage: Eukaryota; Metazoa; Chordata; Mammalia; Rodentia; Cricetidae
Source: Ensembl
CGGGAGGAUGCUUCGGUACGGGGCGCGUCGCCCCCCUCAGGCCACCAGAGCCCGGAUACCUCAGAAAUUCGGCUCUGGGUCUGUGGGGAGCGAAAUGCAACCCAAACCCCGUUUUCCCCG